RNAcentral lists this long non-coding RNA (11750 nucleotides) under Coffea arabica (coffee). Its description in RNAcentral is "long non-coding RNA (CARA_LNC002657)". Lineage: Eukaryota; Viridiplantae; Streptophyta; Magnoliopsida; Gentianales; Rubiaceae. The record is from RNAcentral.
AAGGGGAGCUGAAAAUCACGAUUUUGCUGGAGUAAAGGGGGGCCGAAAUUCUGCUUGAACAUCAAACCAAAGUAGGUAAUGAUCCAACACUCUAAACUUGGUUUAUAGAGGUUGUUUAACACCUUUAAACUUGGAUAUUCAUAUGGGUGGUUGUUAUUGUUGGAAAUUUGGAAGGUGGGCUCUAUGAACUCCCACCCUUUGUCUUGAUGGCUGAUGUGAUGAUUGAUGAUGAAUUUAAUGUUGGUUUAGUGCUCAAAAUGGUAGAUUAAUGGUGUAUUAGUAGUAUGAACUUCAAGAAAUGCAUGAGAGGAAAAGUUCCAAUUCUGCCCCUGCUUUGAACGUAUCUAUUUCUGCAGAAUUUUGGGGUUGUAAUGACUUAUAUAUGACGUUUAUAUGUUUUAUAGAUGGUGUAUAAAAUUUCAUUGAAAAAUAUUGAGGUUUGGUGGGUCAAAUGAAUUGAUUUCACAAAGCUAGUAAAUCUGGAACUGUUCACGUACUGCUCUGACCAGCUUUCGUGUUUUGGCCAUAAUUUUGUGCUCCGACGUCGAAAUCGAGUGCCGUUAGCGGCAUUUGAAACUAGACAUUCCAACCUUUCCGAUGGUAUAAAAUGAACCUUCUGGUUCCAUGUAUGUGAGCAAAACCAACCAUUUAAAGUCGUCUGUUCUGUUUCUCGGUUUUACUGGAACGAAAUGCUGAGGCUGCAACUUGUGGCUCGAAUUCGAGCUAGUUGUGUUCCGAAUUUCAAAAUGAUUUCUUCUGUGAAAUUAUAGCUCUAUGAAUGUGUUUUCCAACGCCAUAAACCAUGCCCAAUUCUGAGUUAAUUUGGGUGAUUUGUAAUCAAAAUACGGAACCUGCCCUGCUCUUGAAAACCCUGACUUUUGGACAGAUUUGAUGCAAGGCUUGGUAUAGACUUGCUAACUGAAUAUUUUGGUGCUAAACACUUACCAAAUGUACCAUGAAUAUUCCUUAGGCUUUGCCUACACUAAUGAGCCAUGUUUGAGGAAUUUUUCCUUGACCAAAUGUUUGAAAUGGAAAACAAAAGGUUCAAGGCAGUUUUGUCUUAGUAUUUUUGAAACUUAGGGUGUUUGAUUGACUACCUUCCCGAAGGUAUUUUUUUAUGAAAUUUGAUAGAGGGAUACUAUUUAUAUAGGAGUAUUAUACUGCCGAAUUUUGUACCAAUCCGAGUCCAUUUCGAUACCUAACUAAAGUCCCAAAGUUGGAAGCUCAAAUCUGGAAAUUUGUUCACCAGUUCACCAGUUUUAAAGUCCCACAAAAGGAUCGCACGGUGGACGCUUAAACUUCGAGUGCCCUUUUUUUCUCGUUUUACUUGGUGAGUGUCAAGUGUAUGUUACUUGAACUCCUGUGAAUUCGAUACGUGAUUACUUAUUAUUGAUACUUGAGAUUUUGGGAAAUGGAGUCGAGUGUGUACUUUAUCGCACUCGUUCUCAUUCGAAAUGAUUUAACUCAUGCUCAAAUUGCUUGAAUAUAUAGAUUGCUUGGAUACAUCGAUUGCUUGUACAUAUCAAUGCUUGAUACAUGAUAUGGUAUGCUAUGACUGCAUACGUCGUUGGAGUGAAUCUCCUCGACACACAAUUGCACAUGGGGACGCCCACAUCUCAUUGGCCGACCUUGGACUCGAGCCGGCAUAGGUUUGGUCGGGAACCUUGGCGAGCCAUGAGAUAUAUAUGCUUGACCUAAUAAGAGGUCUUGCUUGGCAUAUUCGAGUAGUAUCGCCACAAACAAAUGACAGGCGGGCCCGAUACAGGGGUAUGUAAGGUGAAAGGGGACAGGUUAAGUGGAGUUCUACGGACAAAACCUACCCGAUUGACGGAGUGUCAAUUCGCGGAGGUUAUUGAUCGUGCAAGUGGAAUAUAGCUCCUGAGAGCUCCUAUAUCCUUGAAUUGUUUCCGUUUACUUUCCGGUAAAUUGUUAAUUAUUGAAACAUAUUAUUGCUUAGCUUGUAAUUGGGAUUGUUACUUGAACUACGUGCUUGCAUGUGUGUCCUUGGCCUCACGAGUGUUUUGCUCACCCUGUAGAUUUGUUUUCCUUAACAUGAAUGGAAAUGGAGUUAACGCGGAGAGAUCUCCUUUUGGAUAUAUUUUGUUUUAGGGUUUCAAGUGUAUUUUGGCUUGACCCCUUUAUGAUUGUACUUUUGGAAGUUUAAUGUAUCAUUUGGAUAUAUGUGAUGUAUAUUUUGGAAUUUAAGUUGUAUUAUGAACGCCCGACGUGCGGGUUGGAUAAUGGAUGGAUAUUGUUAAGCAUGAACGCUUCCGCACUAUAUGUAUUUGUACUAAUUUGAUUGUGGUAUCUAGUAUCGCUAUAAGUUUGAACGUUUAUUGCUUGAGUUCUGGCGAGAGCUAGGCAGGCGUUCCGCGGAUACCCUUUGGUGCGCCUUAGGGAGAAGUGGGGGCGUCACAGUUGGUAUCAGAGCGCUAGGUUAGAGAUCUAUAUGGGAGAUAUAUUAGAUACUCUACCCUUAAGACGUGAGAUCGGAUAAUUAAGUUCUACCUUAAGUGGUAUUUGUGGCAUACUAGUAUUUGGGUUAGGCAUGCAUAAACGACAUCCGAACUAGAUAGUGUUUUAAAUUUCUAACCCGAAAAGUGCUAUUAUUUUGCAGGGAUGGAAAACGGAAAUGGAGUUCCGGCAGCUGACGGGAAUGGCCAUGCGAAUGGCCAUAUAGUGCCUCCUAGGCCUAUCUACUACCGAGCUCUAGUUGGGGGAGCUCGAGUACGCUAUUCUCCAUCUGACAGAUAUCCCCGAUGUGCAUGUAGGGUUACCUUUGCUUACCCGAACCACCUUGUGCUUGCUCUGGACGACGAGCGUCGUCAGCUAGUGGAUCUUACCAGGGAUCUUCAGGCAGAGGUGGACGAGCUUAGACAGAUGGUUAGCGCUCAGGGUGAGCGGAUUGCCGAGCUCGAGAAGGUGAUCGAGGGUGAGGUGGCCACAUCUGCAGUGGUUCGUGAUGAGUUUCAGAGUGCUAGGGCUCAACUUACUUGGUUGAGAGAGGAGGUCCAUAGUCGGGCUUCCGAUAUCGUAGCUGAUGCCACUAGGCUAGUGGAUGAGGUGAUGGGUGUGGCUCAGGACUCUGAGGAGGAGGAUCCUGAGGAGGAGGUUCCUCCUGAUAGUCCUGCUGCGGACUAGAUCUAGAUUGAUCGACCUUUCUUUUGACCCUUUUGACUAGUAUAGCUAGUAUUAGUAGGGGUGAUGCUAAGUGCUGAGACCAUUGCAUUUUGCAUGACUGUGUGGCCUAUUUUUGAGGCACUUGCUUUACUUUAGUUUUCUGUAACUAAAAGUACUCUUGUGGCACCUGUGUGCUAUAUUUUUGUGACUACCCCAUGAUUUGCUAAUUGUAUGAACUUGAUAUGCUAAUAAAUGUAAAUUAUUGUUAUAUCCAAUGUCUUCUAGGUUGGUUCCUGCUUUCUACUUUGCAUCGCAUAAUUUAUUUAUUUCUUGCACAUGGAAGGACUAAGAAGGGGUCGAGACCGUGGUCGAGGCCGUGGGCGAGGGACUAGACCAGCUCAACCUCAAAGGGAUGACCAGGGAUCGGCAACUGGACUGACCCAAGGUCAGGAAAAUAUUGAGGGUAAUCAAGUGGCUACUGCCAUUAAUAGAAUGACUGAUAUCCUAGAGCGCUUAGCUGAUAGACAAGGAUCUGGACCGUUCAACCAACCUAGGGGUCAAGAAAGAGGAGAGGAUAGAGCCUUAGAGAGGUUUUUGAAAUUUAACCCGCCUAAGUUCCUCGGCGAACCUGAUCCUGAGGUAGCGGAGAAUUGGUUAGAAAGGAUGACCAACAUAUUCGCUACUUUAGACUACACUAAAGAUAGGCGAAUGAAUUUCGCUGCUUUCCAAUUUGAGGGAGUAGCCCGUGCUUGGUGGGAUCUGAUAAAAGGAAAAUGGGAGAGAACUCAGACACCUUGGACUUGGGAGAAUUUCACAAGGGAAUUUAACAAAAAGUUUCUUCCGCCCUUAAUCCAAGAGAAGAAGGAUGAUGAAUUUAUCAAACUAAAACAGGAAGCUCUUAGUGUAGCUGAGUAUGAAGGAAAGUUUACUAAACUUUCAAAGUACGCUCCCGAAUUGGUGACUAAUGAACGAAAAAGGAUUAGACGAUUUGUUCAGGGACUUAAUGUGGAGAUACAAGAGGGUUUGGCUGCAGCCCAAAUCUCUACAUUUACUGAGGCACUAGAGAAAGCUCAAAGGGUAGAAAAUGCAAGGAUGCAAGUGAGAGACUUCCACAAUAGAAAAAGAAACUUUUCUAGCCAUACUUCUGGACAAGCAAGUAAGAGUGCACAACCUUCCAAGAUGGGAAGAGGAGCAGGAGAAGUGAAGUCUGUUAGAGCUUCUAGGGGAACUCUAUCUAGAGGGGGUCGUAGUGGGACGACUCAAUUUAGGGGAGCGCCUUCUACUGGAUCGGCUGUGACCCCUCAAGUUACAUGUGGAUACUGUGGUAAAUCCAACCACUCUGAGAACGAUUGCUGGAGAAGUUGGGAAAUGUUUAUUUUGUAGUAGUGCUGAACAUCAAGUCGCCAAUUGUCCAAAAUCGCCAAAGACAGAAGGAAACCCUCAGAGGCCAGAAAAGUCAACCUCUAAGCAGACCAGUGCCGGAGGAAGUCGAUCGAAAGUUCCGGCCAGGGUUUAUGCAUUGGAUUAUCAACAAGUUCCUGAGGUAACUGAGGUGGUAGAAGGUACAAUCCCAAUCUUUCACCGUUUAGCUAGGGUUUUAAUUGAUCCAUGUGCUAUACAUUCUUUUGUAAACCCUAACUUCAUGAGUGAGAUAGAUUCGAAACCAAUUAAAUUACCAUAUGAUUUAGAGGUUAAAACGCCUACUGGGGAUCAAAGUCUAAUUGCUAACUUGGUGUAUCAAGAUUGUGAAGUCUGAAUUGGGGAACGAAAAUUAUUGACUGAUUUGAUAGGUUUGACGAUUAAGGGAUAUGAUGUGAUAUUAGGAAUGGAUUGGCUAGCCCAUUAUAAUGCCCAAUUGAACUGUAGGACGAAAAUUGUAGAAUUGUGUAUUCCAGGGGAGGCAACCCUGAUCUGGAUGUAAGGGGCAAAUUGGCUUCAUUUGCACUUAUUUCAGGAAUUCGGGUUAAAAAAUUAUUAAGUAAAGGAACUCAAGGGUUUUUGACUUUUCUUAUUAACACCCCAAGUGAUAAGGUGAAUUUGAAGGACAUGCCUGUAGUGAAAGACUUUCCAGAUGUUUUUCCCGAAAAGUUAGAGUCUCUACCUCCAGAAUGGGAAAUAGCUUUUAAAAUUGAUGUAACUCCGGGAGUGACACCUAUCUCUAAGACGCCAUAUCGGAUGGCUCCAGCGAAAUUAAAGGAGUUGAAAUUGCAACUGCAAGACUUGCUGGAAAGGGAUUUUAUAAAAGAGAGUGAUUCUCCGUGGGGAGCCCCAGUUUUGUUCGUUAAGAAAAAGGACGGGAGUUUGAAACUAUGUAUAAACUAUAGAGGCUUGAAUGAGGUCACCAUUAAGAAUAAAUACCCACUGCCCCACAUUGACGAGUUAUUUGACCAAUUGCAGGGGGCGGUAGUAUUCUCAAAGUUGGAUUUAAGACAGGGUUAUUAUCAGUUGAGGAUUUUGGAGAAGGACAUACCCAAGACUGCUUUUAACUCGAGAUACAGGCAUUUUAAAUUUGCCGUGAUGCCGUUUGGAUUAAUGAAUGCUCCUGAUGCUUUUAUGGAUUUAAUGCAUAGGGUUUUUAAGCCUUAUUUGGACCAAUUUGUGGUAGUGUUCAUUGAUGAUAUUUUGGUGUAUUUUAAGAAUGUGAAAGACCAUGAGAAAUACUUGAGGGUUGUUUUGCAAACCUUAAGGGAGCAUCAAUUGUAUGCUAAGUUUAGCAAGUGCGAAUUCUGGUUAAAAGAAGUGACUUUCUUAGGACACAUAAUCUCUAAGGAUGGGAUUAAAGUGGAUCCAGCUAAAGUUGAAGCUGUUUCGAAAUGGAAACGACCGGAAAAUCCUAUCAAGGUUCGGAGUUUUAUUGGAUUAGUAGGCUAUUACCGGAGAUUUAUCAAAGAUUUUUCUAGAAUUGCUGGACCAAUGACCGAGCUGACCAAGAAAAAUGGGAAGUUUAUAUGGAGUUCUAAGUGUGAAGAUAGUUUUCAGGAAUUGAAAAGACGGUUAACAAGGGCACCUGUGUUAGCUUUGCCAAACGGAAAGGAUAGUUUUGUGGUUUAUACAGACGCAUCUAAAGAAGGUUUGGGAUGUGUGUUGAUGCAAAAUGAUAAAGUGAUAGCAUAUGCCUCUAGAAAAUUGAAACCGCAUGAAAGGAAUUACCCGACUCGUGAUUUGGAGUUAGCUGCUGUGAUCUUUGCUUUGAAGAAAUGGAGACAUUACUUGUAUGGAGUAACGUUUGAAGUCUUUACUGAUCACAAAAGCCUUAAAUACUUAUUUUCACAGAAGGAACUGAAUUUGAGGCAACGUAGAUGGAUGAAAUUUUUGGAAGACUAUGACUGUAUGAUUAAGUACCAUCCAGGGAAAGCUAAUGUAGUGGCUGACGCUUUGAGUCGUCAAGUACAAAUGGCUGGAUUGAUGAUUAAGGAAUUUCAAUUGUUGGAAGAAGUUAGUUAUUGGAAUCCUCGACUGGAAUCGAGGAAAGUAAUUUUGGGAAAUAUUGUAUUGAAUUCCACUUUGAUGGAACGUAUCAAGAAAUCUGAAGGAAAGGACACUGAGGUGCAGAAGUGGUUGGAAAAGGUUAAAAAGGGGGACAAGUCGGACUUCAACUUGGGAACGAAUGGUGUAUUGAGAUUUCAGAAUCGGGUGGUUGUGUCAAAGGAUGAAGGGCUUAAAAAGAAAAUUUUAGAAGAGGCACACCGAUCAAAGUUUACGGUACACCCAGGAGGGAAUAAAAUGUACCAAGACUUAAAGAGUCUGUAUUGGUGGGAGAACAUGAAAAAAGAGAUUGCUCAAUUUAUCCAAACAUGCUUAAUUUAUCAACAGGUUAAAGCCGAACAUCAGAAACCAUCGGGACUUUUGCAACCUCUAGAAAUACCUGAGUGGAAAUGGGAGAAUAUCACCAUGGAUUUUGUAUCGGGAUUACCAAGGACACAGAGAGGCCAUGAUGCGAUUUGGGUAAUAGUGGAUAGAUUGACCAAAUCGACUCAUUUUCUGCCGAUUAAUAUGAAACACCCGUUAGAGAAGCUGGCCAGGCUGUAUUUGGAUGAGAUCAUUAGGUUGCAUGGAAUACCUGUCAGUAUCGUGUCGGAUAGGGAUCCAAGAUUUGUUUCGAAGUUCUGGCAAAAGAUGCAAGAAGUGUUAGGGACUAAAUUGAAUUUUAGUACUACUUAUCAUCCCCAAACCGAUGAACAGUCUGAAAGGACAAUUCAGACCCUUGAGGAUAUGUUGAGAACUUGCGUUCUGAAUUUUGGGGAGAGUUGGAGUAAGUUUUUGACUUUAGUAGAAUUUACCUACAACAAUAGUUUCCAUUCUUCUAUUCAGAUGGCCCCGUAUGAGGCACUUUAUGGUCGAAAAUGUAGGUCUCCGAUUUGUUGGGAUGAAAUAGGUGAACGGGAAAUCUUAGAUCCGACUACAGUGUCUUGGAUUGAAGAAACUAAUGAGAAAGUAAAGUUGGUACGCCAAAGAAUUCAGACCGCUCAGAGCCGCCAAAAGAGUUACGCCGAUAAUCGGAGAAAAGAUUUGGAGUUUACUGUUGGAGAUUUGGUAUUUCUCAGAAUCACGCCCUUGAAAGCAGGCGUGAUGUCUGGAAAAUGAAAGAAGUUACAACCAAGAUUUGUAGGAUCUUACAAGAUUAUCCAACGUGUGGGGAAUGUAGCCUAUAAGCUUGAAUUGCCACCGAGUUUAUCUCGAAUCCAUAAUGUAUUCCAUGUAUCUAUGCUUAAGAAGUAUCAUCCAGACCCUUCUCACAUUUUGCAACCGGAGAGUAUUGAGAUUGAUGAGACUUUGACCUAUGAAGAGAAACCGGUGAAACUUCUGGAUCGAAAGGUGAAGGAAUUGAGGAACAAGCAGAUACCACUAGUAAAAGUUCUUUGGAGGAACCAAGGAGUUGAGGAAGUAACAUGGGAAGUUGAAGAAACGAUCAGAGAGAAGUAUCCGGACUUGUUUGCCAAUCAAGGUAAAAUUUCGAGGACGAAAUUCUCUUAAGAGGGAGAGGAUGUGAGGACUCGAAAAUCUAUUAUUUUUAAAUCCCUAAUUUUGGCUUAAUUAAUUAUUUAUUUGAAUUUUUGCCACGAAUAAUAUUUUAUAACCUUAUUAGACCUAAGUACAUGGUAUUAUAGUUUCGUUAUAUUUUUAAAGUGUCUCGUUUCAAAAAUUAUUUUCUUAGAAGCUUGUCUAGUGAAAAAGUGAAAACGCGUUUGGAAAAUUUAACCAAUUGGGAGUACAUUAAGUCCGGAAAAUUGGAGACAUGUACAAUGGUCUUAAAAUAGGUAAAUUUAGGUUUAAAUGCUCAAGUGAUAGUUAGGGGUACGAUCGUUAUAAGAAUUUCUCGAAAGUUUCACUUUAUCGCGCCUAAAUUGGAAAUACGCGUUUUCACGCGCGCGACUAAUUGAGGGACUUUAAACCAUUAUUUUGGGACAAUUAAGUGUGAAUAAUAUUUAUAUGAAUAUAAGUGCAUUAGAGGUUUAGUGCACUAGUGAAAUAAACUCGAAAGGAAUCGAGCCCAAAAUGCGAGCGUACACGCGCAAGAGAGAGUUGACUUUCGGCGAAUUGUGGCCACACAUUUAAGCUUACUUUAGAAGCUUUAUUUCAGCAUAUCAUACGCCUCUUUCUUUCUCAUUUAGCCGAAACAUCAGCUGCAACAAAACAACUCCAAGUUUUACAAAUUCCUUCUCCAAAUCUUACAAAAAUCUUCAUCCAAUUCACACCCAACUUAAACCACACGUGGCUUAACACUUAAGGAUCAUUUGAGUUGCAAAAGGGGAGCUGAAAAUCACGAUUUUGCUGGAGUAAAGGGGGGCCGAAAUUCUGCUUGAACAUCAAACCAAAGUAGGUAAUGAUCCAACACUCUAAACUUGGUUUAUAGAGGUUGUUUAACACCUUUAAGCUUGGAUAUUCAUAUGAGUGGUUGUCAUUGUUGGAAAUUUGGAAGGUGGGCUCUAUGAACUCCCACCCUUUGUCUUGAUGGCUGAUGUGAUGAUUGAUGAUGAAUUUAAUGUUGGUUUAGUGCUCAAAAUGGUAGAUUAAUGGUGUAUUAGUAGUAUGAACUUCAAGAAAUGCAUGAGAGAAAAAGUUUCAAUUCUGCCCCUGCUUUGAACGUAUCUAUUUCUACGAAAUUUUGGGGUUGUAAUGACUUAUAUAUGUUGUUUAUAUGUUGUAUUGAUGGUGUAUAAAAUUUCAUUGAAAAAUAUUGAGGUUUGGUGGGUCAAAUGAAUUGAUUUCACAAAGCUAGUAAAUCUGGAACUGUUCCCGUAAUGCUCUGACCAGCUUUCGUGUUUCAGCCAUAAUUUUGUGCUCCGACUUCGAAAUGAAGAGCUGUCAGUGGAAUUUGAAACUAGACAUUCCAACCUUUCCGACGGUAUAAAAUGCACGUUCUGGUUCCAUGUAUCUGAGCCGAACCAACCAUUUAAAGUCGGCUGUUCUGUUUCUCUAUUUUACUGGAACGAAAUGCUGAGGCUGCAACUUGUGGCUCGAAUUCGAGCUAGUUGUGUGCCGAAUUUCAAAAUGAUUUCUUCUGUGAAAUUAUAGCUCUAUGAAUGUGUUUUCCAACGCCAUAAACCAUGCUCAAUUCUGAGUUAAUUUGGGUGAUUUGUGAUCAAAAUACGGAACCUGCCCUGCUCUUGAAAACCCUGACUUUUGGACAGAUUUGAUGCAAGGCUUGGUAUAGACUUGCUAACUGAAUAUUUUGGUGCUAAACACUUACCAAAUGUACCAUGAAUAUUCCUUAGGUUUUGCCUACACUAAUGAGCCAUGUUUGAGGAAUUUUUCCUUGACCAAAUGUUUGAAAUGGAAAACAAAAGGUUCAAGGCAGUUUUGUCUUAGUAUUUUUGAAACUUAGGGUGUUUGAUUGACUACCUUCCUGAAGGUAUUUUUCCAUGAAAUUUGAUAGAGGGAUACUCUUUAUAUAGGAGUAUUAUACUGCCGAAUUUUGACCCAAUCCAAGUCCAUUUCGAUACCUAACUAAAGUCCCAAAGUUGGAAGCUCAAAUCUGGAAAUUUGUUCACCAGUUUUGAAUUUUUCCCAAACUUCGAGCUACUGUAUCUCGGUGCUCGAAACUCCGAUCCUUGAUCUGCUUUUUCUAUUAAAAACCUUACUUGUAACUCUAAUUAAGUUACAAAUUUCAGAGGCUAGCUUGCAAUGUGUGAAUUUUGCCGAAUUUCCAAAGUUAGCGAAAAACCAACCCCGGCUCAAUUCUGAGUGUUCUGGAACAGCAACUUUAAGCCCAUUUUUGAAUAUCUUUCACUUAGAUUCAUGGAAAAGUGUCUUCUAAGAACUUUUAGUACUUUCAAAGAGGUUUCCAACGGUACCAAGUUUUCCAAUUUUUGAUAUGUAGAAUGUGAGAUACGAUUUUUCAAAAUAUCGUAUCAAAACUGAAAAUUUUCCGAAUUCCAAAGGAAGGGAGUUUUCAAGCACUCCUUAUUCCUUCGAUAUUACUUGAACAUGUUAUACCUGAUUUUCUAAAAUGAAAACUUGAUCGUUCUUAUAUUUUAAGAAACUCUAAUUGAAUCUCGAUUUACGAGUAAUUGAGGUUCGAUUUCAUGAAAUUUCCUUAGAUUGUACUAGUGUACAAUCUUCCUUGACAAUUGGGAUAUAUGAGUGAUGUUUCACUAUUAUUUGCUCAGGCGCACACGAGGACCCACAAAAGGAUCCCACGGUGGAUGCUUAAACUUUGAGUGCCCUUUUCUUCUCGUUUUACUUGGUGAGUGUCAAGUGUAUGUUACUUGAACUCCUGUGAAUUUGAUACGUGAUUACUUGUUAUUGAUACUUGAGAUUUUGGGAAAUGGAGUCGAGUGUGUACUUUAUCGCACUCGUUCUCAUUCGAAAUGAUUUAACUCAUGCUCAAAUUGCUUGAAUAUAUCGAUUGCUUGGAUACAUCGAUUGCUUGUACAUAUCAAUGCUUGAUACAUGAUAUGGUAUGUUAUGGCUGCAUAUGUCGUUGGAGUGAAUCUCCUCAACACACAAUUGCACAUGGGGACGCCCACAUCUCAUUGGCCGACCUUGGACUCGAGCCGACAUGAGCUUGGUCGGGAACCUUGGCGAGCCAUAAGAUAUAUAAGCUUGACCUAAUGAGAGGUCUUGCUUGGCAUACUCGAGUAGUAUCGUCACAAACAAAUGACAGGCGGGUCCGAUACAGGGGUAUGUAAGGUGAAAGGGGACAGGUUAAGUGGAGUUCUACGGACAAAACCUACCCGAUUGACGGAGUGUCAAUUCGUGGAGGUUAUUGAUCAUGCAAGUGGAAUAUAGCUCCUGAGAGCUCCUAUAUCCUUGAAUUGUUUCCGUUUACUUUCCGGUAAAUUGUUAAUUAUUGAAACAUAUUAUUGCUUAGCUUGUAAUUGGGAUUGUUACUUGAACUACGUGCUUGCAUGUGUGUCCUUGGCCUCACGAGUGUUUUGCUCACCCUGUAGAUUUGUUUUCCUUAACAGGAAUGGAAAUGGAGUUAACGCGGAGAGAUCUCCUUUUGGAUAUAUUUUGUUUUAGGGUUUCAAGUGUAUUUUGGCUUGACCCCUUUAUGAUUGUACUUUUGGAAGUUUAAUGUAUCAUUCGGAUAUAUGUGAUGUAUAUUUUGGAAUUUAAGUUGUAUUAUGAACGCCCGACGUGCGGGUUGGAUAAUGGAUGGAUAUUGUUAAGCAUGAACGCUUCCG